CUCCACUAGCUUUGUCAGAAUCCUUUCUUUAACCAGGGUUCUAGUUAUGUUACCCAUCUUGACAAAGGACCAUCAUUGCCUCUCUUCAAACUUCAUAGCAGCCCUCAUCAUUAAUCUGGACACAGGUCAAACCUGUCCAGGGACCCUCAGCCAGUUCUGCUCUCAAUAAAAAAGUUACUUUUUAUUGUCCACUUUUAUGUGGUCAAUUAUUUUGACUCAAGUAAAAGAAGAACAAUGCAGCAAGAGAAUUGAGGAUAUUUUUGAGAAUGGAUUCAACUUCUGGAUAUCACAAACCAAAUUGUGGCACAGAAAGACAAUUCAUAAAUGUCUUCUUCAAAAUGGGCCAAUUAGGCCGAAGUUGAGAAUUUGGGGAA
This is a long non-coding RNA of Homo sapiens (human), 374 nucleotides long. RefSeq lists it as uncharacterized. The record is from RefSeq and is a predicted model, not a curated record. NCBI's taxonomy places the organism in Eukaryota, Metazoa, Chordata, Mammalia, Primates, Hominidae. The transcript is spliced from 4 exons.